CAAUAGCGUAUAUUUAAGUUGUUGCAGUUAAAAGCUCGUAGUUGGAUUUCGGAUGUGAACGACCGGUCCGCCGUUGCGGUGUGCACUGGACGUUUGUAUCUUGUUGUCGGGGAGCGCGCUCCUGACCUUAACUGGGAGGGACGCGGAGUCGGCGCUGUUACUUUGAAAAAUUAGAGUGUUCAAAGCAGGCAACCGCUCUGAAUACAUUAGCAUGGAAUAACGCUAUAGGACUCUGGUCCUAUUGUGUUGGUCUUCGGGACCGGAGUAAUGAUUAAGAGGGACAGUUGGGGCAGUCGUUAUUCAUUUGUCAGAGGUGAAAUUCUUGGAAUUUAAUGAAAGUGAUCAGAAACUUCUAGCUGAAAUGCAAUUUGCCAAUGGACAUGUUUGUAUUAAUCAAGAACGAAAGUUGGGGCUCGAAGAUGAUCAGAUACC
RNAcentral lists this ribosomal RNA (432 nucleotides) under uncultured eukaryote. RNAcentral's name for it is "bacterial SSU rRNA". It matches the Rfam family "Eukaryotic small subunit ribosomal RNA", at positions 592 to 1016 of the family's 1831-position model. The record is from RNAcentral.